Non-coding RNA from Oryctolagus cuniculus (rabbit), 978 nucleotides. The record is from RefSeq and is a predicted model, not a curated record. NCBI's taxonomy places the organism in Eukaryota, Metazoa, Chordata, Mammalia, Lagomorpha, Leporidae.
CCUCCCUGGGGUACCAAGCUUGCGGCCUGGCUCCCCCAGGCUCUAAGUUGACUGAGAAGGCCUGGAUUUUAGCUGGUUCUGGUCGUGAAUCGCCCCCUCCCACCCGUAGAGAAAGAGGGGGGCGAUCCAAUGCACAGGGCCAAUCCCCUCCAGGAUCGCACCACUACCGGAGGUUGCCCAUCCCCACCUCAACCGCCACUUGUGGAACAUAGGAGGCAGGAAGUUCCAUUCAUCCCUGAGCCCUUUCAGGGGGAGGGGGAGCUGUGGCUGUAGGCACAUCUACACCUGCCUCCCCUGCCCCUGCCUUCCUCAGGCUCUGAGUGGCUCGCUGUUUCCUAAAGUCAGCCCAGGCUUCUUCCUCCCUGUGCUCUUCCUCUGUGGCCAACACCUGAUCCAGCCCACCCUCCCAGCAACAAUGGGAUUUCUGGGGGACAUCAGUAAUAUUUCAUAUAAUAGUUAAUACAAGAAAUUCAGGGUUAUAUAUUAGUCGUGUCUCAGACUGGUUUUUCCACUACAAUACCUGAGAUUGAAGAAUUUAUGAAGAGUAGAAAAUCAUUGGCUCCCAGUUUGGAAGGUUUUCAAUUUUAUAUUAGGAAAUAUGACUGAACUGUGGUGUAAAGCUAAAUACCUACAAUUCAGAGAAUCCACAGACAACGUCUGCCAUCACGGAUAUCAAGAGACGUUGAACAAGGUCAACAUUAACUUUGAAAGGUAUUUGUUGUAUAACAUGGAGGAUUGUAAAGCUCUAAGGUUAGUGAUGCUGAAUUUAACAACGAAUGGAGUUACAUGCUUAUUCUUUUUUCUAGUUCCAAGGGAGUAAUAUCUUCUAAAAUAAAAUGUUAUUUUUUGUAAGAAAAGUUUUGGGAAGAUGUUUUACACAUCUAUUAAGGUAAUAUUGACAUGAUUCUUUCUUCAGAUGAAAAUACAACAGUUCCAGUUUCCUUUUAAAGUACAAAACAAACAUCUCAUUCAACAAAU